UGCUCUUUUAGCCUGAACACCUUUGACAACAGCGACACAGAUCAUCACAGGUACACCGUGUUACUGGCGUCAAGUUGAGCUCCAGCAGAUGACAGCUCAGUGACAGACUCAUAAUGUCAGUCAACAGCACAUAUUACAGCCCGACAGCGAACAAGAGCGACAAAGAGUGUAGAAAUGAAGAGUAACGAGACUCACCUCAGUGAAGAUACACACGUGUGUCUGUUGUGUUUCUGCUGCAGAUCUUUGACCAGCGCUCAACAGCUGACGCUCCUCCACACACUCCUCCACAUCCAGGUGGAUUCACAGCUCCAGUAAAGCUCACACACAGGUCUGCAGUCAAACAUCAGUUCCAGCAGGUGUUCAGACAGGAGAUCUGUGGCUCUGUGGUAAGAGCGCUGCCCCACGGCUUCAGGGGUUGCUGGUAUGAUCCCAGCCAGAACUCUGCGAUAUGAGUGAAUGGUGAGUGAGUGUGAGGCGCGCCUGAAGAAGGGGGGAUACCAGUUCGGUCUCCCCCUGGAGCUUCCGGAGCCGUGUCCAGCAGGGGUUAUACUUUACAGCCUGACAAAAAUUUUAAAAUGAACUGUAUAAAAAUUCUGGACCUGCGUCCCUUCCCCACCCGUUUCGGUUACCAUCAUUUACUUUCUAGAGGAGUGACCCUCCACAAAGCAAAUGAUGGUAACCGACAUGUGGAACAGACACAUACACACACACACACACAAUCACACACAUGAUCUACAUCACCUGUGCAGCAGCAGAUGAUCAUCAUUACAGUCAGUGUUUGGCCACACGUCUCUGCUUCUGUUCAACAAGCUUACAGUCCUCAACACUUCACUGAUUCUGUAAAGUCGACACACAAAUACACACAUUAUUACACACAUUGCAUAUCUGAGCUAAUA
Molecule: long non-coding RNA, 896 nt
Organism: Danio aesculapii
Lineage: Eukaryota; Metazoa; Chordata; Actinopteri; Cypriniformes; Danionidae
Exons: 3
Source: RefSeq, a predicted model, not a curated record